AGAGUUGAUCAUGCUCAGAGCGACGCUGCGCAGCUUACACAUGCAGUCGACGGCACUUCGGUGUCAGUGCAGACGGUGAGUACACGUGGGACGUGCCUUCGGUCGGAUACUCAGGGAACUUGAGCUAUACCGGAUACGCCCUCUGGGAAAGGUUUACUGCCGAAGGAUCGGCCCGCGUCUGAUUAGCUUGUUGGUGGGGUAACGGCCUACCAAGGCGACGAUCAGUAGCUGGUCUGAGAGGAUGAUCAGCCACACUGGGACUGAGACACGGCCCAGACUCCUACGGGAGGCAGCAGUGGGGAAUAUUGGACAAUGGGCGCAAGCCUGAUCCAGCCAUGCCGCGUGAGUGAUGAAGGCCUUAGGGUUGUAAAGCUCUUUUGUCCGGGACGAUAAUGACGGUACCGGAAGAAUAAGCCCCGGCUAACUUCGUGCCAGCAGCCGCGGAAU
RNAcentral lists this ribosomal RNA (447 nucleotides) under uncultured Alphaproteobacteria bacterium. RNAcentral describes it as "bacterial SSU rRNA". It matches the Rfam family "Bacterial small subunit ribosomal RNA", at positions 8 to 523 of the family's 1533-position model. Lineage: Bacteria; Pseudomonadati; Pseudomonadota; Alphaproteobacteria. The record is from RNAcentral.